Molecule: non-coding RNA, 28 nt
Filed under: Homo sapiens (human)
Lineage: Eukaryota; Metazoa; Chordata; Mammalia; Primates; Hominidae
Source: RNAcentral
UGUACCCGGAUGCUGGGCUGUACAUACC